GAGCUAACGCGUUAAGUCGACCGCCUGGGGAGUACGGCCGCAAGGUUAAAACUCAAAUGAAUUGACGGGGGCCCGCACAAGCGGGGAGCAUGUGGUUUAAUUCGAUGCAACGCGAAGAACCUUACCUACUCUUGACAUCCAGAGAACUUAGCAGAGAUGCUUUGGUGCCUUCGGGAACUCUGAGACAGGUGCUGCAUGGCUGUCGUCAGCUCGUGUUGUGAAAUGUUGGGUUAAGUCCCGCAACGAGCGCAACCCUUAUCCUUUGUUGCCAGCGGUCAGGCCGGGAACUCAAAGGAGACUGCCAGUGAUAAACUGGAGGAAGGUGGGGAUGACGUCAAGUCAUCAUGGCCCUUACGAGUAGGGCUACACACGUGCUACAAUGGCGCAUACAAAGAGAAGCGACCUCGCGAGAGCAAGCGGACCUCAUAAAGUGCGUCGUAGUCCGGAUUGGAGUCUGCAACUCGACUCCAUGAAGUCGGAAUCGCUAGUAAUCGUAGAUCAGAAUGCUACGGUGAAUACGUUCCCGGGCCUUGUACACACCGCCCGUCACACCAU
RNAcentral lists this ribosomal RNA (555 nucleotides) under Enterobacter sp. DJM4C6. RNAcentral describes it as "bacterial SSU rRNA". It matches the Rfam family "Bacterial small subunit ribosomal RNA", at positions 848 to 1405 of the family's 1533-position model. The record is from RNAcentral. Lineage: Bacteria; Pseudomonadati; Pseudomonadota; Gammaproteobacteria; Enterobacterales; Enterobacteriaceae.